This 467-nucleotide ribosomal RNA is filed under the name uncultured bacterium. Its description in RNAcentral is "partial 16S ribosomal RNA". It matches the Rfam family "Bacterial small subunit ribosomal RNA", at positions 28 to 507 of the family's 1533-position model. The record is from RNAcentral.
GACGAACGCUGGCGGCGUGCUUAACACAUGCAAGUCGAACGAUGACGACCGAGCUUGCUCGGUCUGAUUAGUGGCGAACGGGUGAGUAACACGUGAGCAACCUGCCCUUCACUCUGGGAUAACCUCGGGAAAUCGGGGCUAAUACCGGAUAUGAGCUCCUGUCGCAUGGCGGGUGUUGGAAAGUUUUUCGGUGAAGGAUGGGCUCGCGGCCUAUCAGUUUGUUGGUAAGGUAGUGGCUCACCAAGGCGAUGACGGGUAGCCGGCCUGAGAGGGCGACCGGCCACACUGGGACUGAGACACGGCCCAGACUCCUACGGGAGGCAGCAGUGGGGAAUAUUGCACAAUGGGCGAAAGCCUGAUGCAGCGACGCCGCGUGAGGGAUGACGGCCUUCGGGUUGUAAACCUCUUUCAGCAGGGAAGAAGCGAAAGUGACGGUACCUGCAGAAGAAGCGCCGGCUAACUACGUG